RNAcentral lists this unclassified non-coding RNA (352 nucleotides) under soil metagenome. Its description in RNAcentral is "partial contains 5.8S ribosomal RNA, internal transcribed spacer 2, and large subunit ribosomal RNA". The stretch from base 1 to 120 matches the Rfam family "5.8S ribosomal RNA", at positions 35 to 154 of the family's 154-position model. The record is from RNAcentral.
GAUGAAGAACGCAGCGAAAUGCGAUAAGUAAUGUGAAUUGCAGAAUUCAGUGAAUCAUCGAAUCUUUGAACGCACAUUGCGCCCGCCAGUAUUCUGGCGGGCAUGCCUGUUCGAGCGUCAUUACAACCCUCAGGCCCCCGGGCUUGGCGUUGGGGAUCGGCGGAGCCCCCCGUGGGCACACGCCGUCCCCCAAAUGCAGUGGCGGUCCCGCCGCAGCUUCCAUCGCGUAGUAGCUAACACCUCGCGACUGGAGAGCGGCGCGGCCACGCCGUAAAACACCCAACUCUUCUGAAGUUGACCUCGAAUCAGGUAGGAAUACCCGCUGAACUUAAGCAUAUCAAUAAGCGGAGGA